UACGAAGGGGGCUAGCGUUGCUCGGAAUUACUGGGCGUAAAGGGCGCGUAGGCGGAUAGUUUAGUCAGAGGUAAAAGCCCAGGGCUCAACCUUGGAACUGCCUUUGAUACUGGCUAUCUUGAGUUCGGGAGAGGUGAGUGGAAUGCCGAGUGUAGAGGUGAAAUUCGUAGAUAUUCGGCGGAACACCAGUGGCGAAGGCGACUCACUGGCCCGAUACUGACGCUGAGGCACGAAAGCGUGGGGAGCAAACAGG
RNAcentral lists this ribosomal RNA (253 nucleotides) under uncultured bacterium. RNAcentral describes it as "partial 16S ribosomal RNA". It matches the Rfam family "Bacterial small subunit ribosomal RNA", at positions 524 to 776 of the family's 1533-position model. The record is from RNAcentral.